AAGAUUAAGCCAUGCAUGUCUAAGUAUAAGCAAUUAUACCGCGAAACUGCGAAUGGCUCAUUAUAUAAGUUAUCGUUUAUUUGAUAAUACUUUACUACUUGGAUAACCGUGGUAAUUCUAGAGCUAAUACAUGCUAAAAUCCCGACUUCGGAAGGGUUGUAUUUAUUAGAUUAAAACCAAUGCCCCUCGGGGCUCUCUGGUGAAUCAUGAUAACUAGUCGAAUCGACA
This 228-nucleotide ribosomal RNA is filed under the name uncultured fungus. RNAcentral describes it as "partial 18S ribosomal RNA". It matches the Rfam family "Eukaryotic small subunit ribosomal RNA", at positions 40 to 274 of the family's 1831-position model. The record is from RNAcentral. Lineage: Eukaryota; Fungi.